CCUACGGGAGGCAGCAGUGGGGAAUUUUGGACAAUGGGCGCAAGCCUGAUCCAGCCAUGCCGCGUGUGGGAAGAAGGCCUUCGGGUUGUAAACCACUUUUGUCAGGGAAGAAACGGCUUUUUCUAAUACAGAGAGCUAAUGACGGUACCUGAAGAAUAAGCACCGGCUAACUACGUGCCAGCAGCCGCGGUAAUACGUAGGGUGCAAGCGUUAAUCGGAAUUACUGGGCGUAAAGCGUGCGCAGGCGGCUUUGCAAGACAGAUGUGAAAUCCCCGGGCUCAACCUGGGAACUGCAUUUGUGACUGCAUGGCUAGAGUACGGUAGAGGGGGAUGGAAUUCCGCGUGUAGCAGUGAAAUGCGUAGAUAUGCGGAGGAACACCGAUGGCGAAGGCAAUCCCCUGGACCUGUACUGACGCUCAUGCACGAAAGCGUGGGGAGCAAACAGGAUUAGAUACCCUGGUAGUCCACGCCCUAAACGAUGUCAACUGGUUGUUGGACGGCUUGCUGUUCUAGUAACGAAGACUACGCGUGAGUAGACCGCCGNGGGAGGUACGGCCGCGAGGUAGAACGUACGAAGUAGAGUUAGAGCGUGAGAGNGCGACGGACGACGACGAGGGAGGAGG
This 623-nucleotide ribosomal RNA is filed under the name uncultured bacterium. RNAcentral describes it as "bacterial SSU rRNA". The stretch from base 1 to 542 matches the Rfam family "Bacterial small subunit ribosomal RNA", at positions 338 to 873 of the family's 1533-position model. The record is from RNAcentral.